AGUGAACGCUGGCGGCAUGCCUAAUACAUGCAAGUCGAACGGCAGCACAGUAAGAGCUUGCCCUUACGGGUGGCGAGUGACGGACGGGUGAGGAAUACAUCGGAAUCUACUUUUUCGUGGGGGAAAACGUAGGGAAACUUACGCUAAUACCGCAUACCUUCUACGGGUGAAACCAGGAGUUAUUCGGCGCUUGGGCGUCACCUAGAGCCGAUGUCGGAUUGGCUAGUUGGCGGGGUAAAGGCCCACCAAGGCAACGAACCGUAGCUGGUCUGAGAGGAUGAUCAGCCACACUGGAACUGAGACACGGUCCAGACUCCUACGGGAGGCAGCAGUGGGGAAUAUUGGACAAUGGGCGCAAGCCUGAUCCAGCCAUACCGCGUGGGUGAAGAAGGCCUUCGGGUUGUAAAGCCCUUUUGUUAGGAAAGAAAAACAGCAGGUUAAAACCCCGCUGUUCUGACGGUACCCAAAGAAUAAGCACCGGCUAACUUCGUG
Molecule: ribosomal RNA, 492 nt
Filed under: uncultured bacterium
Lineage: Bacteria
Description: partial 16S ribosomal RNA
Rfam family: Bacterial small subunit ribosomal RNA
Source: RNAcentral